RNA transcript from Tigriopus californicus, 971 nucleotides. RefSeq lists it as uncharacterized. The transcript is spliced from 2 exons. The record is from RefSeq and is a predicted model, not a curated record. NCBI's taxonomy places the organism in Eukaryota, Metazoa, Arthropoda, Copepoda, Harpacticoida, Harpacticidae.
AGAUGCAUGUGUGCCCUUAACCAAGUGAAGUGACCGUCGAAGAGGUUUGUCUAUCAGACUUGAUUCCAUGGCAUAGUACUGAUGAACCUUGUGGGUUUCAUAUACUCGGUGGUAAUUUUCAGGCGGAAUAUUUGAAGGGUUGCACGAAAGGCCAGUUGAGUCUGGUUUGUCGCCCACCUACAUUAGGCACACAUACACCCAGUCAUCUGACUUGGUUGGGAGUCGUUUCAGUUGGGAGUCAAAUUGACUCACGCAAACAACCGACAGUCAACGGGCAACAUCUUUCAACUCAUCCCACGACAAAAAGAGCAAAAGAGCACUGCAUUUUGAGGGUCACGACUCGCUCCAACAACGAAUGGGACUGAUUCAGAAGUUGACGUCAUGAUCCAAGGCUAAGCUCACCUUUGCGUCGAUACUAUCCCCGUAUAUCGCUUUAGAAUGGUCCUCCCCAAAGCUCCAAGAACAUGUUGCACAAUCCGACUCCGGGCCUAGUGUUCUUGGCCAUGGUGCUCAUGGCCUCGUUGGCCUCAAGUAGGCCCCAAUACCCGCAACCCGAUUGGAAUUGGGAGGCUGUGAUCUUGUCACGAAACGGACCCAGUACCUCCACCACACCCCGGCCCACACGAUGGACCACCACCACACUCCGGUCUUUCGAAGGACCCGCCAUCAUUGGCAUUGGCAAGGCCACCGUGGAACGAGAGAAUUUGGUGCCACAACGGAACAAGCUCCAACCUCUGUACCAGGUGGAUUCGAGUUCUGGAUCCCGAUUGACAGGGAACAACGACUCGAUAGUGUUCUCGCUGAUUAUGUCAGUCUUGAGCGUAAUUGCGUGCUUAUGAGUGGAAAGAUACAGUAUUAAAUAACCAACAGCCGGACAACCGGAUUGAAUGUGUGCAGUGCGAAAAAAUGAAACUUGAUCCACCCGAAGACGCUAGGGAGAGAGUGACAACUGUGAUGACCUUACUCCGCUG